AAGGAAUAUUGGUCAAUGGACGCAAGUCUGAACCAGCCAUGCCGCGUGGAGGAUGAAGGUCCUCUGGAUUGUAAACUUCUUUUAUCUGGGACGAAAAAAGGCUUUUCUAAGUCGACUGACGGUACCAGAUGACUAAGCACCGGCUAACUCCGUGCCAGCAGCCGCGGUAAUACGGAGGGUGCAAGCGUUAUCCGGAUUCACUGGGUUUAAAGGGUGCGUAGGCGGGUAUGUAAGUCCGUGGUGAAAUCUCCGAGCUUAACUCGGAAACUGCCAUGGGUACUGCGUAUCUUGAAUGUUGUGGAGGUGAGCGGAAUAUGUCAUGUAGCGGUGAAAUGCUUAGAUAUGACAUAGAACACCAAUUGCGAAGGCAGCUCACUACACAAAUAUUGACGCUGAGGCACGAAAGCGUGGGGAUCAAA
Molecule: ribosomal RNA, 419 nt
Filed under: uncultured bacterium
Lineage: Bacteria
Description: bacterial SSU rRNA
Rfam family: Bacterial small subunit ribosomal RNA
Source: RNAcentral